CGGUGGAUGGCGAAGUGUCUUUCUCCCUUUUGGACAGGGAGCUCGACGGUCGUGAGCGGAGGCGAUAAAUUCGAUUUCUAUUUCACUUC
This 89-nucleotide transfer RNA is filed under the name compost metagenome. Its description in RNAcentral is "tRNA-Pro". The record is from RNAcentral.